Uranotaenia lowii is the source of this 697-nucleotide long non-coding RNA. RefSeq lists it as uncharacterized. The record is from RefSeq and is a predicted model, not a curated record. The transcript is spliced from 3 exons. NCBI's taxonomy places the organism in Eukaryota, Metazoa, Arthropoda, Insecta, Diptera, Culicidae.
AGCAGAUGCCGGAACAAUCCUCAUCAACCGGCCGAACAAACACUGGAGCGGUUCCAGUGCCCCAACACUACGCUCCGUAGAAGCGGCAGCAGCUGUGGUCUGUGUAAAAUUGUAAAUACAAUUGGAGAUGGCAGCGAUUUGCGGAUUUGGUGGUGGUGGCGUCGAAGGAAAAGUUUUCCGGAAACCUUGAAUCCCAAAAUGCAGUUGUUUAGAGUAAUCUAAAAUUGACUGAAAGGAUGAGGCAAAACAAACGGUUGCACUACGGUGCGCAGAAUCUGAGCCUCCCAAAAUAAACUGCCGGAAUCGGUCCGCAGAUACCAGCUCCGGUGAUGUGCAGGGUCUACACCGUAUUUUGGGACAUAGUAAACAGCAAGAUCUUCAUCAACCGGAACCUGCAGGGCUGGAGUAAAUCAUUGUAAAGAAGGUCAACGUAUUUUCGUGUCGCCUACGCUUCCAAAGCAGAAAUCCUCUUAUUUCAACCAAAAUUCCCGGAAUCGCGUGGCAGGAAACGGCUCCAGUAAUGUGCUGGGACACUGUCUUACGCUGGAGUAAGAAAAGUCCGCCUGAGGAAUCUUACAAUGUGCACAGUGCCGAUACGCCAGCAACGGAGGAAACAUGCAAAUUGAAGACGGUCCCGAGCUAAAAAAAUCCGUUGGGAAGGAUUCUAAAACAUGGCCUAUGAUAGAAGAAUACUAAU